Suncus etruscus (white-toothed pygmy shrew) is the source of this 169-nucleotide small nuclear RNA. RefSeq annotates it as U1 spliceosomal RNA. The record is from RefSeq and is a predicted model, not a curated record. The transcript has a single exon. Lineage: Eukaryota; Metazoa; Chordata; Mammalia; Eulipotyphla; Soricidae.
AUACUUACCUGGAAGGAGAGAUACCAUGGUGGUUUUCUCAGGGUGGUUUUCUCAGGGUGAGACUUAUCCAUCUCACCUGGAUGUGCUGGCUCCUGCAAAUUUCUCCAAAUGUGGGAAACUCGGCUGCAUAAUUUGUGAUAGUGGGGGACUACAUUUACGUUCUCCCCAG